GGAACUGUAGCUCAGUUAGUAGAGCAUGGCUCUUGCAAAGCCAGGAUAGUGGGUUUGAUUCCCGGGAUCA
Molecule: non-coding RNA, 70 nt
Organism: Salmo salar (Atlantic salmon)
Lineage: Eukaryota; Metazoa; Chordata; Actinopteri; Salmoniformes; Salmonidae
Source: Rfam